Molecule: ribosomal RNA, 253 nt
Filed under: uncultured bacterium
Lineage: Bacteria
Description: partial 16S ribosomal RNA
Rfam family: Bacterial small subunit ribosomal RNA
Source: RNAcentral
UACAGAGGUCUCAAGCGUUGUUCGGAUUCAUUGGGCGUAAAGGGCGCGUAGGCGGCGGGGUAAGUCGGGUGUGAAAUCUCAGAGCUCAACUCUGAAACUGCACUCGAUACUGCUUUGCUAGAGGACUGGAGAGGAGAUUGGAAUUCACGGUGUAGCAGUGAAAUGCGUAGAUAUCGUGAGGAAGACCAGUGGCGAAGGCGGAUCUCUGGACAGUUCCUGACGCUGAGGCGCGAAGGCCAGGGGAGCAAACGGG